UGAGGAGGCCUCUGCAGUUAAUGUAUCAAAAGAAAAAGGAAAUUUUAGUUUCAAAGAGAAAAACAAAAAAAUCAUGGUAAAAAGAGAGAGAAGAAAUUACAGGGAAGACAACAAAAAAAGAGCCCUCUACUCUGAAUCAUAAUUGAUAUUAGGAAUACCAUUUAAUGUUGGAUGGCUACUUAUUUUCUUAGAGAACAUGCAAAGGCACUGCAUAUCAUUUUAUUAAGGCAGACUUAGAAAUGAUAACAAGGCUUGGUUGAUUGUAGUGCUAUUUGCUAAUCCACUAAUUCUAUGGUGAAUUUUCUGCAGUAGAAAAGACAGUAGUAAGCAUAUGAGCCAUAAAUAGUUCAUUGGAAAAUUUAGCACACUUACAUAAAUUGUGCAGAGGAUAUAUGUCAACCUGAUGUUACUUCCUUUCUGCAGAGCUAUGCAUCGAUUUUGUAUCUUCGAGUUCCAUCUGUAUUCCAAAUGAUUUUACGAGGCAAAGAGAUUGAACAUCAUAAUAUUAUUGGUGACAUGAUGAUGAAGAAUCAUGUUAUUUACAAACCAGUGAUGACUGAUGGAUUUCCGAGGGAUAUCGAUGUAAAGAUUACAAGUUCUGUACCCAUCGUUUCUUGUAUAGUGAUGAUCCCUUAACAUAUUUUGUGCAUGGUUCCUCAUCUUUGCAUGCUAGAUGAUGACUGAUGUUACAAUUGGUUUUGUUAAAGAUGCAAAACAUCAUAUUCCCAUUCAAGGAUUUAAUGUUUACCACAAGAACCGCUUGAUAAAGGUAUUCAUUUAGUUAUGCCACAUAUAUAUUCUUAUGAUGAUGAAAAUAAAUACAUUUUUAUUUCUAGCUUCUAAAAUGACUGCACAUCCAUAUACCAAUUUUACAAUUAAUGGAAAGUAAAUAGAUUUGGGAUUUGCACAUUUAUGUUCUAUGUUAAAUUUCUCUGUAACUCUUAUGUUUUAAGCUGAUCUAUUUUUGGAGUAAAAUGCACCAUAGGUCCAUAUGGUCCUGUUGUCAAUUGGGCAUCGCACUUGGGUUCUUCAAGUUGCGGGCAUGUCGCUUUGGUUCCUACUUGCAAGCUGCACAUAUAGGUCUGUAAUUUUGUAAAGCAGUGUCAAAAAAGGUCAAAAACCUUCGGUAGUUAAAGAUGAUAUGAUAACUUAGCUCAAUCUAAACCACAAUGUGACCAUGCUAUCACCUUUUUUUAGAUAAUGGAAGAUGAGGGAUACAUCUCUGGUGGUCUGGCCUAUGCAGAAUGCACCCAGCCAAUGUUUCACCAUUUGAAGUCAUUGGGAAACUAAUAUUUUUUUGUUUGAAUAAUAAAGUUUGUUUCUGCGUGCCGUUGAUUUUCGAUGCUUCUAAUUGAUGGUAGUUGGCAAUAGCAUUGUCAUAUUUUAGCUUAAAUAGGAUUGAGGUGCCACAUUUCCAAUUAAGCUCAGUGUCAGCUUCUAUUGGUACACCUACACAUCUAAGGAUCUAGAUGUGCAAUCAUCACGUUGAGGAUAAAUGAUAACGUGCCCACACAAGUUUAUGGACUUAUCGCACACCUUAUUUCUCUUAUUACGCUUGGUAAUCAACUGAAUAUUUCUUGUUCUAAGCAUGGCCAUCAGCCUGUCUUAGGUGAUUAUAACAGUCAGGAUACGAGUCUCAUCAGAAGUAUAUAUGUUUUUUUAGCCUUUCUGGAGAGUGUGGGCUCUACCUGGAAUUCAAGGGCGUGGUGUUAUAGGUAAGAAAUCCUUCUAUAAGCCCCUUUGGCACAACUUCUUCAUGUGUGGAAAGCUGAUACUGGAAGAAGCUGGUGACAGACAGCUUCUCCUUCAUAGCCGUAAGUUGCUGCAGAAUCAGAUUCUGUCAAACAGCGACACUUCAACUUCUUAGUGGAGAAGCUGAUGUAGAAAUUGUGCCUAAGGGGUCUGUAGGUCCCUUCUUCAGACCAUGUGUAAUCAUUAUAACUUGCAGGUGUACUUGAAGUCAACUUUGUAGAACCAGCUCAUGAUAAGCAGGACUUUGAACGCACAAAUAGCCUUGCAAGACUCGAAGCACGAUUAAAUUUAAUGCAGAAGAAAUACUGGUUUGUCAUGUCGUUUUGCAUUGUCCAUUUGUUGUCUGUAGGCAUACCAGUUCUUUGAAGAAUUCUAAUUAGAGUCUAAUUACCAUGGAAAACACUUACUUCUGUUUCAGGUCUGAUAAUUGCCAUCGAAUAGGUUAUGGUGGCAAUUCUGCUAACAGAAAAUCUGGGAGAGAAUAUAAAGGUAGGUAGUGACGCAGGGCUCCCUGCUUGCUUUAUUUGGAUUACUUGGUUUGGUUAAUAGCUUAAUAUUUGUAUUUUUUUUUCAACUACAUAGUACAAAACAAGAUAAACCAAAUUGGUUUGGAACUUUAGAUAGCCCUGAACGCAUGCAUGCAUACCUUUGAACCUAGCAACCUUAGUUCUUUCUUUUCUUUGCGUUUUCUUUUUGGCAGAGGUUUUCUUUUACACAGUUUUUCUGCAUAACCUGUGCUAACAACUGAGAAUUUUUUUUUUGUUUCAUUCUAAGGACAUACUAUUAUAUGUUGAUUCAAACAAAUACACUGGCAUGCAUGUCAGUUGGCAACUUCCCUUGUGUGUUCAUGUUUGUACAUCCAUUGCCAAACAUAUGUCAAGACAUAGGCUAAAUAUGCUAAUUAUAUAGUUGAUGCAUGAGACAAUUGCUUUAUUAAGUACCCUAUUAUUUUGUUGGAAUAGAGACACCUGAAAAUACUCCACACACAGGACCAACAUCAGAUCAAUCUCCUGAAGGCUGUAGAAGUUCGAAUUAUUUGCAAAGAAAAAGAAGUUUUGGAAGUCCAUAUUCUGGAUCAAGUAAUAACAAUAGCAAAACUGGAAUAACAUCCUUGAACACAAGUAAAAUAAGUCUUCCUGAGAGCAGAUUCUCUUUAAGAACAACAGCUCAGCAGACAGUUGAGAAGACCAAAAGGACCUUAAGAUAUACGAGACCACUACUGCACGGUCUAUCACAUACAAGUAAUGAUAGUGAUGCUCAGACUUCAGGCACCCCAUCAAGAUCAACUUCUCAUAUUCUAAAGACACCUGAAAAAUCAUGCCACAAUGAGAAUACUUUGCCUUUAAUUCCAUCUAGUGAAGCAAUAAGAAGUGAAGGGACAACAAGAUAUCAGUCAGAGGUAUUUGUGUUCCUCUACAUGUAAUAAACUUUGUUUCUGUUUCCAAUAUUUGUGGGUAUAGUGGUAGUUAAAUAAGCUUUAUCAUGAUCUUACACAGUAAGUUGCAUUCAUAAUGGCUGCAACAUAGCAGAUAGCACAAAGCUUGGAUUGGUUUUUGGUAGAUCCUUUACUGUUGAAGUGUUCGAUUUCCUUUUGGCCUCAGGAACAAUAAGAUGAAUGUACUCUGCACAACUUAUCUCACUAUGGGACCAAAAAAAAGAAAAAGAAGCAAAUGAUAAUACCCUACCUUGUUCUUUUCCUCCAUCUUAAUUACAUUGGAUGACCUCCUUCGGUCAUCCCGACAAAAAAAAAAAAACAUACCUUGUUCUAUUCCAGUAAUUAUGUGAUGGAAAAUAGUUGACAUGGGAUGAUCUCUCAUAGUUUUACUUUCUUCUAGAUGACUGUUUCAGUAGAGAUGACCUCUCACCUUAGGAAGACAGUAACAUUCCUCCCAUUAAAAGUUAACAAAGUAUGUAGUACCAGAAAAAGGAAUGCAGAUGAGUGAAGUUUAAGUACAGUGUAAAUUAUAGUAAGAAAAAACUGAAGAGCAAUGAGAGAUGGUCAUUAAAGAUGUACUGAAUGUCCUAAUCUAUCCUUCUUUACAUUUUGCAAAUUUUCCUUGGUUUGUUCUUUACAUAUCAAGAGCAUUUUUUUUUCCUUUUGAGACAACUGAUAUAUAUGCUUUACAGGAAAGAAAUGUAACAAAUAAUGGAGAUGGACAAACUGUUGAUAACCCUGAGACAGUUAUCAAAUUGUUGACCGAUGAAAAUUCGUCAUUAAAAGAAAGGUAGCUAUUACCAGUGCUUCAUUCAUUUCUUUUUUACGUUUUACUGGCAGUUGUAUGGACAAUAAUAGGCGGUAAUCAGUUGAAAUCUGAAAUCUUAAGUAAUGUUGAGAGGUUAAAUGUUACUGUAGUUGAAUUUAGCCAACAUAUGGGUGUUUAUUCCAGGAACUUUAACAUUUGCCACAUGUUCCUUUUUAUUCCUUUGUUAACAUCAGUACCCUUUUUUGAAUUAUUAAAAUUGUUUCCUGAUGUAUGAUCAGCAGAAACUUGUUUGUUUAAUUCAAAAUUCAUGUAAAAUUUUUAUUUUAAAAUCACUUUAUUUCCAAACAGAAGUAUAUGACACCAUUUAAUAUCAAACCCAAGAUCAUGAAAGCUUGGCUUAGAUAUUUGGUUUUUCAGUGUUCAAUAUAUCAAAGGUCCUAAUCCAAUGGAUUGCUUGUUAAAGGUUUUCCCCAAAUGACACUUAGUUGUUCGCAUGAAAUAAGAUUUGGAACUUAGAGUGACUUUUCCUCUUCAUUCUUGUUUUUUUCCCUGUGUGAUAGUAUCAUGAAGAUGGAGGAAUCUUUGUCAAGAGAAUUACAUAUCGAACGGGACAAGAAUAAGUCUCUCAUUGAAAGGGUAAGCAAUACUAACUUUUACCUGUGGGGCUGUUGGUAGUAUACUGUGUGCUUGUCCUGAAAUUUUUACUAUUUAGCCCUUAUUCAAAACUUGCUGCAAAAAUGAACCCCGCCAAAAAAGUUCAACAAAAAAUGGCCCCUGAUCUCUGCACCAUCGGACUGACACUGAGAUCGCGAUGUUGGCAUUGACCCUUGCCACGGUGGUGGGUGGGGAGACUGGCGUGGCAAAGGGGGUCAGCACCAGAGGUAUUGGCGCUAACCUCCUAUUGGUAAAAGGGUAAUAGGCUAUUCUAUACAACGAUGCAAAAUGUGGUGCAGUGGUGUGAUGUCUCAUGCUACCAACACAUUUAUUUUCUUCUUUAUCCAAAUCAUGCCUAUAUAUGCCUAAUUCUGACCAGCUAAUCGAAAGUAUGUUUUAUGUUUAGCUAAUGUGAACUGUAUAUUUUUGCAAAAGUAAUUAGUACCUUUUUUUAAAAAAAAAAACAAAGAAUUUGAACAUGUGUGUGUAUGCUUAAUAAUGGUCAUUCAAAGAAGAGGGACUCAUCCUAAGAAGGCCUUCUUUGGUAAAGCAACAAACUACUAUAAGGCCUUCUUUGUGUUGAAGGUGUGCCUACUACAUUUUUAAGUUAUAGGAGGUUAGUGCCAAAGGCCUCGGGGCUGACCCCUUUGCCACAUCAGUCAGCGAGCUCCCCUGCCACCACCGUGGCAGGGUCGGUGCCAGCAUCGAUAGUGCUGAGUACCUCAGCGCGAGGUCGGAGUCAAUUUGUGGUUAAAGUUUUUGGUGGGGUUCAUUUUUGCAAUAAGUUUUCAAAAGGAGCAAAAUAGUCAAAACUUCAGCUUGCCAUGCGUUACCCCAAUUACAGGUUACCAGAAUUUUAUUCAACUUUGCACCUACUGAGGACAAUUUAUUCUUUUUCACUACAGUUUGGUGUAGUGAUUUAUAGAAACAUUUUAGGCGUCACAAAAUAUACUGACAUGACACAUGCGAUGCGAUUUACUGGAGCCAAUAAUGGCUUGAAGGGUUUGAAAGGUCAGACUGCAUUAUUUCAGUCUUUGUAACCAAGUCCUUCCAUAUUUUGUUUUCCAGUUGGAGAAUGUUCAGAAGCAACUUGGAACUGCAAACAAGGAGCAAGAAGCAUUGGUAGAUAUCUUUACAGAAGAAAGAGCGCGUCGAGACCAAGAGGUGGAGAACCAGCGGACGAAACUAAAGGUUAGUUAGAUCUUAAAACUGUAGUGGAUUUAUUGCGCGAAUGCACCGAUCCAAUCCGCCUUGUCGUUGAGGAUGGCAUCACGGCAUAACUAAGCUCCUCAGUCGGCAUAGCCAUUUUUGAUGUCGUCUCUGCUGUUCCAGGAGGCGUCGUCCACCAUACAGAACCUGCUGGAUCAGCUGAAUGCUGCCAGGAGCUGCCGCAAGAACUAGAAAUGGAAUGAAGAAGAUCAAUUACCUCGUUGGUCCAUUGUGGCUAUCGCCGUAAAAUAAGUUUCCCUUGUACAUGUUAGAAUAAGCUAUAUAUGUCCCAGAUGGUUAAUUGGUGCUAGAACAGCUAGCUGUUGGUAUGUUUUAUGUGCAAGGUAUGCAGUGCUGCAUUUUCCAGUGCUAACAAAGAAGGGUGAGUCGACCACCACUCUAAACUCGAAAAUGUGGGAGAUCGACCAUAUCGGUUUCAGACCUUCAGUAUCAUUCGAUGCAAUACUUUGUCUAAACUUGAGCAGUAUGUAAAACUGUAGUUCUAAAACUCCUAUCAUAAUGUUAGUCUGGUUAAUCUUAUAUUUUUACGAGUUCACCUUGGUGUGUAUUAUGUUUCUCGGUAUUAUAAUUGUCUUCCGUGUUGAUACGCACAUAUGCUUUUCCUAUGAAGUCCAUUUUUUGGUAGUAAAUUUAUUUUACAAAACAUUAAUCAUGAACUUGGUAUAUACAUGAUCACCAAAAGCUUAUGUGGAAUAUGAGGUGAUGAACCGACCGGUUAAAGAAACAGAAUUGUAGAUGUAGGUGUUGACGCAGUAGGUGAACGUUGGGGUGAGGAAUACUGAGGAUGUUGCCAGAGAGUACGCUGGGGUAAAGCUAUAGAUGGCCAAAAUGGCCGCCCCGCCCGGGGGCGGCUGAUAAGCGAUCAGCCGCGCGCGCGCGGUCAGUCGCCUCCCUCCUCCCUCUAGUAUCUCAUAUAUACUACUAUAUACAUUUUAUAUAUAUAUAUAUAUAUAUAUAUAUAUAUAUAUAUAUAUAUAUAUAUAUAUUAUUUGUUUGGUGCUCCAUGGUGCCCGGGCACCAUUGUUGAAAUUGAGUAUAUACCCAAUUCAAAUGAGUAUGAAACUUUUUCAAUUACUUAGGUAUUAACAUUAACUACUUUACUAACUAGUUUAAAGCAAGUUUGAACUGAAUUUGAACUUGUUUUUGUUAGAUUUUGAUUCUAGGUAUAUAGCAUCCAUACAUAUAAUUAGUUAGGUAUGUAAUCAUGGAUUGUGAAAUAAAGUUAAAUUUGAGUUGUUUUGUUGAUAAGUAUAGGUAUGAAUCAAAUUAUUAUAACUAGGUAUAUACUCACAAUUUGAAAAUUUUGAAAAAUUUGAGUGAUUUUGUGCAUUAGAUACCAUGGUGCCCCAUAUGAGUGUCCUAUAUAUAUAUACAUAUGUAUAUAUAUCUAUACAUAUGUAUAUGUGUGUAUGUACAUAUGUAUAUAUAUAUAUAUAUAUAUUUCAAUGCAUAAAAAAUAUAUACACAUAUACACAAAGUUUAUAUACGCAUAAAAUAUAAAAAUAAAUAAAAAAAUACAUCAUGAAUAGAAAGUUUGUAUACGCGUAUAUACAAGUUUAUAUACACAUAUAGAAAGUUUGUAUACGCGUAUAGAAAAGUUUGUAUACGCGUAUAGAAAGUUUAUAUACGCGUAUACAAACAUUCUAUAUGUACGAAUACAAACUUGGUAUACAUACGAAUACAAACUUGAUAUUUAUACAUCUCGAAAAAAAAAGGAAAAAAAGCCGAACAGAAGAGAAACCGGAAAAAUAACAAACCGAACGGAAAAAAAACCAGAGGAAAAAACCAAACAGAAACGAAAAAACCGGUGAAAAAAACCAACCGAACAUAAACGAAAAAAAGGGAAAAAAACAAAAAAAACGAAAAACUCGCUCCUCAUCCCUGUUAGAGUUUGUGUCGAAUAUGUGUACAUAGUCGGUUACAGUUUAGGACUAGGAGUUGUAAUAGGUAUUAGGACUAGAGUAUGAGUCGGACUCUAUCCAAGGUUCUCUCAUAAAUAGAGAGGCAUGCCUGUUGUAACCGCAUGGCGACUUAGCAUAGCGAGAGGGAGCGACUGAACUCCGUUAACAAAUAUCGUGUCUCGGUGUCGUCAUCGUUUUGGAUCUCCUAUGACGUUUUCUUCCGCGUUUAGCUAACGAUGUUGAUUUCGGGGCUGGUUUUAUAACAAGUGGUAUCAGAGCCUACAUGAGGUCCAUGGUAGAGGCGCGAUGGAGGUGCUCCACACCGCGUAGCCUGCUGUAAUGCCCACGGAGGGGCAUUGGCGCAAGGUGAAGCAUGGCGGAGAUCAACGGAGUCUUGAUCGGUGGAUCGAACACUUCUGGCAGCGGCCGGAACCGUCGAUGGCUGCUUUCAACAGGGAGAUGACUAGACGUGGUGCUCGGGUUGAUGGCGGCGGAAGCGAUUGGCGAUCCAAUCGGUGGGUCAGACACUUCGGGCGGGUGGCUCGGACUUUCCGGUGAGCUACUCUCGACAGGGAGACGUGCGGCCGCACGCUCGGGUUGAUUGAAGCUGGAGGCGAUCGGCGUUCUCGAUCGGUGGAUUCGAACGCUCUGGGCGGGGUGGCCCGGGCCUUUCGAUGAGCUACGUUCGACAGGGAGACGGCUAGACGUAGCGCUCGGGUCGUUCGGCGGCUGGGAAGACGGCAUGCGACUUGUCGGCUUCAGCUCGCGACUAGAUUGAUGGCGUUUCAAUCGGAAGUCGGAGCGGGUGGAUCCUAUAGGCUGUUUUGGAGGUGUUGACGAGGUAUUUGCACGAUGGAAUUGCUUCAAAGGCGGCGUAUUUUGUGGCAUAUGGCUGAACAAAGCCUAGGGCGAAUAGAGCAGCAUCUAGUAGCGGUUCAACCCUGGAGAGGUUUUGGUUCAACCUGUUUUUCCCUCUAGCAGACAAGAAGUAAACCACGUGGGCUGUAGAUCAAUGACAACAGUUGUUGGUGGAGUCGUCGGUGGUGCUUGGCAUUGGUGCUAGAUGUUGUCAGAGAUACGAAGAAGCCCAGGAGGUCAGGGUCGCGGCGGUGUGCGCGUCCUGCGUCGAAGCCGAGCCGGCGACGGAGAUCAGGGCGAUGCCGAGAAGGAGCUGGCUAGGGUUUUAGCUAGGUCGUGCAGGGUUCGGUCUUGAGGGUUUGUGGUGUGGAAGACACGGACAUGGAGUCGUCUCCGGUUCGGUCACGGCGCGGACACAAUUGAAGACAAACAGUGGAUACCAAGUUUCAACACGAAGGGGAAUCGGACGAGGACUACGAUUAGUUCAUGAAUCGGACUCGAUUUUUUCCCAAAUAAAAGCAGCAGAGGACCACGGGAUUGCAACAACGCAAUCGAAACAAAUCACCUAGCAGAGGGCGAGAUUCGUACCCGAUUUUCGCAAAGGCGGAGGUGGUUUGGGCGGCGAGGUCACGGGUGGCUGGAGGCGCAUCCUUGCAGGCGGUGUGUGGCGGCGUGGUACUCGGCGGCGUCCGUCGGAGCUCGAGCGAGAGCUUGCGGCGGCGGCUGCGGCGGUUCCCGACGAAGAACCGGCGUAGGUCUUCGGUGGCGGUGCUCCCAAGGCGGCGCGGCAGCCUCUUGCGGGGCCGGCGGCUCCCCAAGGUCCGGCGGCGCGGCGGCUCCUCGUGGGUCGGCACAGGCACUAGACGGCGGCGGGAGGCGAUGGUGGUGUGCGGCGGCGCAAGGCAGCGGUGUGCGGCAGCUUCGGCAACGAGGCGGCGGCGCAUCGGGUAGGGCGGCAGCGUGCGCAGGAGGGAGGAGCGAGGAAGCCGAAGAGAAAAGGGGAUCGGCUCGAUCUGAGCCGGUCUUUGACCGCUGUUGUCUGGUGGUUGACCGAGUAAAGGAGACCGAGUCCGGUUUUUUGGAGAAAGAGAAAAAAAACUGAUUCGGUCCGGCUGGUACUGUUCGAGUUAGUCGGUGGGGUCGAUUGAACCAGGGCAGAUCAAUUUAACAGGGCAACAGCUAUUGAGUUGAUUAUCGUCGAUGGCGGCAACGGUGGUUUCCAAAUUUGAGGUGGUGAAGUUCGAUGGCACCGGGAAUUUCGUUCUCUGGCAGAUGAGGCUGAAGGAUCUGUUGGCUCAACAGAGGAUAUCCAAGGCUCUUGAGGAGACGAUGCUGGAAAAGAUGGAUGCUGGCAAGUGGGAGGAGAUGAAGACGCAGGCAGCUGCAACAAUAUGCUUGAGUCUCUCGGAUUCUGUCAUGUACCAGGUCAUGGAUGAAAAAACGCCGAAGGAAAUUUGGGACAAGUUGGCAAGCCUGUAUAUGUCCAAGUCGCUGACAAGUAAGUUGUAUCUCAAACAACAGUUGUAUGGUUUGCAGAUGCAAGAGGAGUCAGAUCUUAGGAAGCAUGUGGACGUCUUCAAUCAAUUGGUUGUGGAUCUAAGUAAGUUAGAUGUGAAACUGGAUGAUGAAGACAAGGCCAUAAUUCUUCUGUGCUCGCUUCCACCGUCUUAUGAACAUGUGGUGACUACCCUAACGCACGGCAAGGAUACUGUCAAAACUGAGAUAAUUUCGUCGUUGCUUGCACGAGACUUGAGAAGAUCAAAGAAAAACGAGGCAAUGGAGGCUUCUCAGGCUGAGAGUUUGCUGGUCAAGGCAAAGCAUGAUCAUGAAGCGGGGGUGUCGAAGAGCAAGGAGAAGGGGGCACGGUGCUAUAAAUGUCAUGAGUUUGGACAUAUAAGGAGGAAUUGUCCGUUACUGAAGAAGAGGAAAGGUGGCAUUGCAAGUUUAGCAGCUCAUGGUGAUGAUUCAGAUAGCAGCAGUCAUGAGAUUCUCACAGUGUCUAACGAGAAGUCUGGAGAAGCGUGGAUGUUGGACUCAGCUAGUUCCUAUCACGUGACAUCGAAGCGGGAGUGGUUCUCUUCAUACAAAUCUGGUGAUUUUGGUGUUGUUUACUUGGGCGAUGACACGAGUUAUCGUUUGUUGGAGUGGGCGAUGUCAAGUUCAAGAUGUAUGAUGGAAACGAGGUGCUACUUUCAGAUGUGAGACACGUGCCGGGACUAAGGAAGAGUUUGAUUUCGCUUGGGAGCCUACAUGAGACAGGUUGGUUGUAUCAGGUGGAUUCUAAUAGGAAGACCAUGAAUAUCAUGAAGGACGGCAAGACUGUUAUGACUGGUGAGAGGACAAGCUCAUGUUUGUACAAGUUACAAGGAACUGCUGUUGUAGGUGGAGUCAUGGAAGAUGGGCAUGCUGGUGUUGCUGUGCACGAUCCUGAAGGCGGCGAGUCUAGCGUAGGCUCGUCAGGCGGCUUGGCGUGAGCUGCGGCAGAACCAACUCAAGUCCUGGUACACGGAGGUUCGAGCAAGUAACAGAUUCGGAUUGGCGUGGCAUAUUCGCCAAGGUGGAGUUUGUUAGAGUUUGUGUCAAAUAUGUGUACGUAGUCGGUUACAGUUUAGGACUUGGAGUUGUAAUAGGUAUUAGGACUAGAGUAUGAGUCGGACUCUAUCCUAGGUUCUCUCAUAAAUAGAGAGGCGUGCCUGUUGUAACCGCAUGGCGACUUAGCAUAGCGAGAGGGAGCGGCUGCCGGCGUCGACCGGCCGUGAGUCGUUGUAACUCUGAUACGCUGUAUAUGCUGGAUCGGGGAGGAGCACCCGUAAUCAGUGCCCCAGAGAUGUAGGCUACGGCUGAACUCCGUUACCAAAUAUCGUGUCUCGGUGUCGUCAUCGUUUUGGAUCUCCUAUGACGUUUUCUUCCGCGUUUAGCUACCGAUGUUGAUUUCGGGGUUGGUUUUAUAACACUCCCUCCGGCGCGUCGCCGCCCCCUCCCCGCGCGCGACACGUGUCCAGUCGCGCGGGGAGGGAGGCGCGCGACUGAUCGCCCAAUAGCAAUCUCGGCCCCGCCCGGCACAGCGGCCGUGCCUAGGCCAAGGUCAGUCGGGCCAGCAUGGGCCUGACUUACACGUCAGGCCAUGCCGGGCUGACCCAAAGGCAUGAUAUUCUAUCGUGCUUCUCUACAGAAUAAGUCUAUUUUUCCUAUCUUAACUCUUUGGGCUUUGUCUAUAUGGCUGGAAAUACAUCUAUUUUGUAUUUCUCUUCUCUUUGGGUCUUACCUUAUAUGGUUGAUUAAGCCUAUUUUGCGUCCCUCUACUAUUUUUCUUCCAUUGUACUGGGCCGUGCCGACCCAACGUGCCGAGGUAGCAGCCCAGACACGGCACGGCUGUUGGGUCGGGGCGGCACAGGCACAACCCCAGUCAGGCCGUGCCGUGCUUGGGUCGGGCUAAAUUGCUGCCUUGGGCUGGGCCGUCAAGCCUCGGGCCAUAUGGCCAUCUAUAGGUGAAGCAACAAAUGUCAGUGAUGGCAAAGCUUGACGCCUUGUAACUUAAACGCCGUGAUUAGGGGCUCUACUAAGUCAAAGCUAAAGCUAAAGUUAAAAUAUAAAUUUUUAAUUUUAAUUUUAAAGUUAAUUUUAAGAUAUUUUCAACGUAGUUUUUUUAAUAUUAGCUUUUAAGUCGCUAAGAGCAUCACUAACCGCAAUCCUAUUUCCUUACUAAAACUAAUUUUGAGGGUUUUUAGUGAAAAAAUUGGAUCCAACAGAUUCCCAAAAGCACUGCAAUAGUUUUGGAGUUCCCAUCCCCAUAUAUUUCGCUCUAUGGAUUUGAGGGCGAGAGAGUGACUCCCAAUCUCUCGUUCGCGUGUUUCUCCUCUCCUUUAUGCACGAGCAGUGAAAAUUUCUAAAUUUCUGUCGGUGAUCGCGAUCUCUUUCUGCGCGCAUGGAAGGAAAAAAAGGGAAUUUCUGUUGGUUGUUUAACAGAAGGGCCCAGUUUUUGGGAUUGAAUAUCUUUUGGAGGCAGGAGUAUUUUCACUUCCUAUUUUCAGUUUUGGAAAAAAUUUUGGGAUAGAUUAUUGCUAAUCUGUUGGUGAUGCUAUACAUAUACAAGAUUUUUACAUAUAGAUUAAUUUUUUAUACCUUAAUAAGCCGUUUAGGGAAUGUGAGCAACCGACAGGGGCGGAGCCAGGCAAAAAUGGCAUCGGGGUCACUAUAGUUCUUAUUCUUUACUACUUACGUACAACAUGUACUAUCUCCGUUUCAUAUUACAAGUCGUUUUUUUCUUAAUCAAACUUGUUUAAGUUUGACUAUGUUUAUAGAAAAAUAUAGUAACAUUUCUAAUAGAGAAUAAACAUUUUAUUUAAAAUAUGUGGUAUACUCUCUCCGGCCCAUUUUAAGCGCAAUCAUAAAUUUAUGUGUCCAUUUUUUAUCGUUAGUCUUAUUUGAAAUUUUUUUUAUGAUUAGUAUUUGUAUUGUUAUUAGAUGAUACAACAUGAAUUGUACUUUAUACGUGACUUAUAUCUUUUUAUUUUUUUCAAAAAGAAUGAAAUAAGAUGGAUGACUAAAUUUAGACACGGAAACUCAUGAGCUUAAAAUGAGAUGAAGGGAGUAUUUAAGUCCAGAUGGGGAUAAUUUGUUUUAGUUUUCACGAGGGCAUGAUAGAGGAAAGAAGUUGAAGAUGGGGAUAAUUUGUUUUAGUUUUCACGAGGGCAUGAUAGAGGAAAGAAGUUGAAGAGUGUCUGCUUAAAGAAAACUAGGGUUUUUGUUAGGAGGCUUGGCUCAAGGGAUCUGAGCCUUCGUUCCUUUUUCUCUGAUUCAACGGUGGUGGAAGGGUCGGCACACAGGGCCACAUGGAUGGUUGGAUCAAGCCUCGUAUCAGAUAGUACGGUCCACGUGAAUUCGAACGUGUUUGCUAUUUCACCAGAUGAUGAGGGGUUUUCUAAAAAAUCGCUGACGUGGCGCUCUCCCAGCAAUCCCACGGCUUUUAAGUAAACCUAUAUUACGUGGGCAGCCAGCUCUGUACUACUUCUAGUUAGUAAUAUAGGCUUGUAGGCCUUUUAUGAUACACGUCAUUACCUGAAAACAGGCUUGAAAAGCUAGCCUUCUAAUCCCCAAAACUUAAUGGCCGAGCUAGUGGAACGAGAUGGCAAAAAGAAACGGGGUCAGAUCAAAAUUUUCACCGGGGUCUUUCUAGCAUUACUAAGGUGGUAAGGUGGUGUUUGGGAAGGAGGAACUAAACUCACAAAAAUUUUAGUCCCUAUAGAAGGGGUUUAUGUUUUUGUAAAAGGGACUAAAGUUCAGUGGUGGAGCCAGGAUUUCAAAGUUGGGUAUUUCUGUCUAACAAAAAAAAAGUUCAUAGUAGAAAAAAAAUCAAUGGUUCACACUAUGUCAAUACUGAUAAUCUAAAAAAUAAAACUACAAAUUAUUACAUGGUACCUCUAAUUUUCUACCUCAGGCACAACCUCAACUGCAGUAAUCUGAAUCUGAACUGGACUCUCAUUUGCAUAUGUAAUCGGCUGAACAAAAGGAACAGCAACUUCGCUAUCAAUUCUAACGGGCUGUGCUGUUGAUCCAGAACCAGAACCUGACCCUACCUUCCUAGACUUUGAAUGUCUAUCCCACAAAGUCUUCAAAUCAAUCGAUUUCUUCUUCAUUUUGAGAGCUCUUUAAUCUACAGAACUACAGAAGUACAGAACAAAAAAAAAAAACUACUCAGAGACUAAGGUAAAAAGACAUGGACACAUGAUGAGUGGAUUUAGGCUGAUUGAAUCUUGAACUCUUGAUUGCUCACCUGAAGUUGUGCUUGCCGCCGGGCGCUGUCCCGUUGAGCCGCAGCCGCUGGCCGCCGCGCCCUUGCCCCUCGCGGCCUCGCUCCCGCUGUCGCUGGUCGCCCGUCAGUUGCCGCCUCGAGGCCUCGCCGCGCCGCCGCCGAACGCCUCACUGCGCCGCCGCUGGUCUAGCUCCCGUCGCCAAUCCUGUCGCCGCCCACCGGAAGCCGGUUGCCGCUCCCGCCGGUCGCCGCGCCGCCGCCGAACGCCACCACCUAGGGUUUGGAAAUGGGGAAUUGGGGAGCGGGCGAGCAGCGCGUGACUGCGUGAGGCGUGAGCGCGAGCCGAGCCAGGGACUCAGGAGGAGUGGGGACAACUACUACGUGUACAUGUGUAUAUACUGAUGUUAGGUAUUCCGGGGAAUACACAGGAAUCACUGUAGCUCCGCCCCUGCUAAAGUUUAGUCCCUCCUUCUCAAAUACCACCUAAGGGUAUUACCCCAGUGAGAGUAUGGUAGCUCCACCCCUGGCAACCGAGGAAGCUACGAGAUCACCAUGCAGGUGGAGGUCGUCCCUGAUCUUUCUUUAGCACCUCAAUUAAUAGGGUUUUAUGGGUUCUUUUGGACCGGAGAUGACAUCGAGAGAGCUCUCGUACGAGGUUUAAUCCUCUUAUAGUGCUAAAGGAGAUAUGAACAAUUUAAUUUAUUUGAAUUAACUGCGCAAUCCGAUCAAUGCACAAGUUUAAGAAACGUGUGCAUGAGCUCGAGAACAAUAGUCAGCAUGUCGGUGACCCUUCUUCUUACGGACUAUCCGUAAAUAAGAAGUCGUCACCUCGCCAAUCCUCUUAUAGUGCUACAGGAGACAUGAACGAUUUAAUUUAUUUGAAUUAGCUGCGCAAUCCGAUCAAUGCACAAGUUUAGGAAACAUGUGCAUGAACUCGAGAACAAUAGUCAGUAUGUCGGUGACCCUCCUCCUUAUGAACUAUCCUAUUACCAUACAUAAGAAGUCGCCACCUCGCUGGAGAUCACAAGGAAGGUGGUCUAGAGGAGGGUGUUGGUGUGGACUGUAUAGAGGGUGAUAACCUCUGCUUCCGUCAUGAGUGGGAAAACUUCUCAAGUGCUUAGUUUUUCUUUAAAAAAAGUAUGCACUGGAUUUGGCUUGAAAAGUGUUGUUAUAAUAUCAUAAAACUUAAAUUAUAUAUAUAUUUAUCUUCGUUAGAUAGUUGAAGUUUUAAAAGUUUGGCUCCUAAAUGCUAGUAAAUAUUUAUGACCAAGCACAUGUUUAGUGCGUUUGUAUAUUGAAAGACCACCACAUAACAACGAGCCAUGUGUUUAUCGACUCAAAUAACGAUUAGCUAGAGUAUUAUAGUUCGAGUUCGUCAAAUUGUUAAAGUGCCGUAGGCUCACCUGUCUCUUGAACCGUUGACGUCAGUUUUUUUUUUUUUUUGGCAUAUUGUCCUAAAUUGAAACGUCUCGAAUACGUCUUGUUGCUUAUUAUUUUUAAUCUCACUCUUUAACCGUCGAUCUGGUUAGGUUUACUUUGGAAUGCAGGAUAUGAGGUUUACUUUGCAAAACAGGAUAAAUAAAACAUAGGAAUAGGAAAGUUAUAGAAAUAUAAUAGGAUUGUAUAUGUAUAUAUAGGAUUAUCACUAAUCUCAGUACUUUAUAGCAUGCUAAGCCAUUGCUAAUGGACCACGCAGGAAGUAAAAAAUUAAGUAGCAAAAUAACUGAGUGUUGUUUCUGUUCCUAGCAUAUAGGAAAAUAAAAAGAAAGAGGUUUGACUGGACGGUUUUUUUCCCCGUAAUUUUCCUUUGAGUUCUUCCUAUGUCCCAAAGGUAGGAAUAGUGCCUAAAUCCUUUAUAAUGUGAAUACUGAGUUUUUCCUUAAAAAAACUGCAAUCCAAAGUACCCUAAUUGUGUUUCUCAUUUUCCAUCUAAUAUUUCCAUGUUAUAUCUACUCACUCUUACACGAAUGUAUACAACAUACUACCGCUAAUUACAAAUGGUUCUGUUACACUGUUUUUCCCAAAAAGAUAUACGAGUUCUAAAUGACUUUUUAAAAUUUAGAAUUGAGUUAAAGGGAUUAAAUUACUCCAUCCAUUCCAUAAUAUAAGGCACAACCACUUUUUUUAAAUGUUCCAUAAUGCAUGCAAUUAACUAUGACAUAUUCUCCAUUAAAUUAUUCCUUUUUUAAAUCAUCCACUCUCAUGUUAUCUAAUUUUAUUGGAUACAUGAGAGUAUCAUGCAGAUUUUUGAGCCAGGGGAUCAACACCAAACAACUCAGAUUUUUCAGCAGAAAAACAAUUACAAAAAAAUAUAUAAAAAGAAAAAAUAGGGAUAGCAAGCCUGCCUUUUACCGAGCCCAACCACCCGAGGCCCAUUAACAGACCCAAAACCAAACUUUUACCAAGACCCAUUAACAGGCCCAAAUAUCAUCUGAGCCACAUUGAACAAACAAUUUUGCUAUAUAUUUGUCGACAAAUUUUCUCCCAAAAAUUUGACAGAUAUAAUUACAGUACAAUCGUAGUGUAAUUACAUUGUAACUUACAUAUAAUUACACUGUAACUAUAAUGUAACUUGUAUGUAACUUUCAAAAAUCUCUUUGUAACAUGUUAUUUCGGUAAAUGAAGGUCAUGGGAACAAAUCCUUUCAGUAAAAUGGAGGUUAUGGGAACAAAUCCUUUCACAUAUGUAUGUGCUGCGAUUUUUUUUCUUCCUCACCAGAACAAAUCUUGUAAUAGAUCUAAUGAUUCAAAAUUACGUGAAACUUAUAUACAAGUUACAAUGUAAUUGCAUACAAGUUACAGUGUAAUUACACUACGAUUAUACUAUAAUUAAAUCUAUUAAAUUUUUAGGAGAAAAUUUGUCGACAAAUGUAUAUGUGGUCAUGCAAGCCCAAAGCACGCAUACCGAACUUAAAGAAGGCCUAUAAGCGUGAACGAAUCUCAAAUAAAUCAAACGGUCUAAAAAACGAAUGAUUCAGCGCUCAGAAAUCAUUCGACUGCUGUAUAGUCUUUCCGUUAUUAGGAUGAUCUAAACUACAAGAUCAUAAUAAUUAUUUUUUAGUCUUUAGAUUAAGAGUGGUUGUGUCUUAUAUUUUGGAAUGGAGGGAGUCCUAUAUUUAAAAUCGGAGAUAGCAAUUACUCCGAAUUCCGAAAGCUCAGUUUGACAUCUCCAGGAGCUCAUCAGCAAAAUCCUGGACAUACGUAACGCACGGAAAAAAAUUAAAAAUACACCUCUUUUUCAUUGGUUUUAUAUAAAUAUACACGUUUACGAAGAUUUUGCACAAAUAUACCACUGUCGUGAAAUGAAAGUGCGAGAUCGAGCUAAUUACUUGAUCUCGUGCGGCAGGUGUGCGAGACCGUCUCGCGCGAGACCGCUCCUUCGCUUCCCUAACCACCGUAUUCGCGUGAGUAAUAAAUUAAUUAGUGUCAUUAGCAGUUAAUUAAUUAAUUAAUAUUUAUUUAAUUAACAUCAUUAGUAAUUAAUUAAUCGUUAAUUAUACGCUAAUCAUGAGCCAUGUCAGGCCAUCUCGCACGCUGCUCAAGCGAGAUCGCUUCUUGUCUUGCCGUCACGCCGGUCUCGCGUCCUGGUCUUGCGAGACCGUGCGGUAUCGCUUAACCAUCCUGGCCUAUCGUCACGCUAUCGUUACUUUCGCUGAAUAAAUCAGCGAUAUUGUUUCGCUUUUGCACUUUCAAUCAACGACGAUAGUAUAUUUGUAUAAACAAAAUUACAUCUCGAAUAUUAAUGAGAAAAAAAUAAAAAACGGUAUAUUUUCAUAUUUAAUUCCGUAACGCACUGCCUAGCGAGGGUUGGCCAAGUUUCGCUUGGGGGAGUAGAAUUCUAGGUAGACACAGAUAUUUCCAAAGCAAACGAAACGUGUCGCCUUCCCUCCUUCCCAACGGGGAGGGUUCCGCACGCCUCCUCUCUCUCUCACACACACACACAGCCAGCCGGGUCAUAGGGCACGUGGGGCCCACCUGUCAGCUGCCGAUCGACAAGGACGAGUAGAUGAUCUUCUGCGACGUGUACGUGAGCUCACUGGCGUUCCUGCUUUUAUUAACGCCGAAAGAGACGACGACGACUUUUUGUGCUUUUAUUUACUAACCCUUGUUGUUGUUGUUUUUUUCAGAAACGUCCUCCAUAAAUCGUACAGUUGUUUCGUUGGUUGCUGUUAUCGUUACUGACUUCCUGUGCGCUGAAAGAUACCUUCGGCCAAGCGGGCUAAUUGUAGCGUGUGUAGCUUGGGAAUAAAGUAGCAGAAUUAAUUUUUGAAAUAAUAUUAUUUUUGAAAAAUUGUAAAAGUAGAGGUUGAUGUUGAAACAACAAUUUAGCAAUAGUAAAAUGGAUAGCGAACAAGCAGGAAAGUGGAUGGGUUAUGAGACAAAUGAUUUAUACAAGUUCAGGCCUUCUCAAUAAGAAUAAGAAGUAAUAACAUAUUUCUGUUUGAGGAUUUGAUUCACUUAUUUUGGUAUUGAUCUAAAGAUCUCAAGUGUGGUUAUGUUCACAAGGGGCCCUGCCUUCCUUAGAUAGUCGGAGGAGAUAAGAUUACAAGAUAGAGACUUUAUCCCUUACAGUCUAAAUCCCUAUAACUACUUUACAAUCGUAACUGACUAAGACUACAUGAUAUUUCCUUGAUAUGCAGGUUAAUACAAUAUCCGAGUCUUAGCCUAUACAUAUUCUAAUCAUAUGAUAUAUCCCCUAUAAUCAGUUGGAUAGUCUAGCCUUGUGGGUAUAUGAUACCCAUAAUUUCCACAGUAGCCCCUGAGACCUUCACAGUCUGAAACAAAACCCUUCUCUCAAACUACAUUAUAUAACAGCCGAAUGCUUCAAUUCUUCCUCCUGCAAUCUCCCGAGUGCUUUUAUCCCUAGUAGGUUGUGAAGGGCUGAAAAAUAAAAAUUAGGUGCAUCGACUAGAUACACCUAAUUAGGUGUAGCCCCCGACUAUGAGAUUAGUUGAAUAAACUAAACAUAUAGUCAAGGAUAAAAUAAAAUAACCAACCGAGUGGUUUAUAACAAUUAUAGUCAUCAAAAUGACUUAAUAUUAUACAACACAUAUUGUGUAAAUCCUUGAAUAAUAUAACUCAAGUGAUAUAUCGACUGCUUUUUAUUAAAAAAUAUUCCAAACAUAUAUUCAACCUAAGCCAUAAGGUUGAUUAAUAAAAAUAUGCACUUACGUGACAAUAAGCAAUGAUAUUGUAUCCAAUCAAUUGCUAAUAUAACCUAAGCAGUGUGUUGACUUAUAAUCAUAUAAAAAAGUCAGCAGGACAGUUAUGAAAAACUUCAUUGCUAGGCACCUUUUAAAAUACAUUGUAUCAACUCCUAAAACAUUGUAUAUCUGCGGUAUAUAAAAAAGGAUUUUAAGGUAUUAGGUACUUGAUCAUGCGUAUUUUUGUCUAAGAAAAAAACACCUAAGUCUCUAGGAGAAUGUGACAGACCACACCUGAAAUUAUGGGUCGAAAACACUUCAAGGGCCUCGGCCCAAAUGAACAGUGUUCUCCGAUAUCCUAAUUAUAAAAAAUUUGGUUUUUGGUAUUUCAACCAUUCGCCCUUCUCUGGUAGGCUUGGUUCUUGUAUUCGAUCCUACACAUCACUCGUCUUGAUAAUAUGGUAUUCCUAGACUCUAACCAAAGACUUAUUUAAAUUUGGAUUAUUUUUUGUCUUUUUUAAUUUUCAAGAUCACCAAUCGUCAUUAAUUUCUUCAUGGAACUAAUACACUUUCAAUCUUUCGUACAAACAUUAAACACAAUAGAUACGUUUUGUUUUAUCAUCAAUUCGCCAAAACCCACGGGGGAUCUAAAUGCACUUUCAACACGUUUAUUAGUAGGGUUUCAAUAAUGCCUUGUUGGUACUUUUGCAAUACAUAAACUCAAAUAAUUGUUUGUUCAAAAGCAUAGUAACAACAAUAAUAGAAUGCCUAAGGCUGUGUUCGAACUAUAAGGAAGGUUGGGGAUCUUCUAGUUCGUGCACAUAAAAAUGGAGUAGCUUAUUAAAGCACGAUUAAUUUAAGUAUUACUAUCUUCGUCCUAAAAUAAGUACAGCCGUGGGUAUCCGUGUCCAACAUUUGACCGUUCGUCUUAUUUGAAAAAUUUAUAAAAAAAUUAAAAAAAUAGUCACACAUAAAGUACUAUUCAUGUUUUAUCAUCUAAUAAUAAUAAAAAUACUAAUCAUAAAAAAAUUUCAAAUAAGACAAACGGUUAAACGUUGGACGUGAACAGUGUAAAACAUUACUUAUUUUGGGACGGAGGGAGUAGUUGUAAAAAACUUAAAAAAUAAAUCAAUAUAAUUUUUAACCAACUUUUUAUAUAGAUUUUUUUUUCAAAAAGAUUCGGGAAGCAUGCAUGCAAAAGAGAGAGAGAAAGCAGAAGUCGGGUUUUAUCUUUGAUUUGACUGUGCUUGCAUUUUAUUUUUCUCUCUUAGGAUGGCUAGGCCUUCUCUCCAUUCUAUCAUAACUAUCCUCCCAAUCUCGACAUUACAUCAUCUAAAAGGAGCACUAUUUUUUCCUUAAACUAUAAUCUGUGUUAAAUAACCUAGAAAGCAACUACUAUACUCUAUAUUAUAAGAUGUAAGCAUUUUUAUAAUUUUUCACGGAAAUUAAAGAAAUAGGUGAAAUUGAACGGUGGAAUGUUGUAAUUACUCCCUCAGUCUUAAUAUGUAGCAACCUCGGAUAGGUCCUAUCCGAGCUUGCUACGUAUUGAAAAUGAGAGGGUAGGGGUGUAGGUAAGAAGAAUUAGGAGGAGAAACUAAAUGAGAUAUGGUUGUGCUUGUUUGGGAUGAGAAAAAUGUAGAGAAAUAGUUAUAUCUUGGGAUAAAUUCAAAACUAAAAAAGGAUAUAUUUUGGAACGAUGGAGUAGUACUUUAGGAGGGAAGGAGUAGUGUAUUUAGCAAACUAACUACCCCUGGUAAUUGGCAGGUGUACGUUCGUGUUCAUAUAGAAUAGAGAUGAGUGUGUGAGCUUUGUGAGCGCAUAUAUUUGUAGUGCUGUGUUUUAACAAAAUAUCCACAUCCUUCUACUUCAAUAUAACCAAUCUAUAGAGGACCAUUUUGUAAUUACCACAACACCCAGAAGUCUAAACAGAUAGAGUACUGGAGGAGUAGUACUACUGCAAAUCCCCACCCCAAAAAAAUAAAAAAAAAAUCUGCUCUUAACAACUCCCUAUAAAGCUACCACUACGCCCCCCUACCGCGGAGAAGCAACCAAUCCAAUUCCGAACAAGCAAGGCACCAAAUCCCCCCACCAUGGAUCACCGCCUCCUCCUCCUCGGCCUCCUCCUCCUCUCCCCGGCGGUGGCCGCCGCCUCAGUCCCCGGCGAGGAGGAGCCGCUGAUCCGGCAGGUGGUCGGCGGCGGCGACGACAACGAGCUGGAGCUGAACGCGGAGCGCCACUUCGCCAGCUUCGUCCAGAGGUUCGGGAAGUCCUACCGUGACGCCGACGAGCACGCGUACCGGCUCUCCGUGUUCAAGGCCAACCUCCGCCGCGCGCGCCGCCACCAGCUGCUCGACCCCUCCGCGGAGCACGGCGUCACCAAGUUCUCCGACCUCACCCCGGCCGAGUUCCGCCGGGCCUACCUCGGCCUCCGCACGUCGCGCCGCGCCUUCCUGCGGGGGCUCGGCGGGUCCGCCCACGAGGCGCCCGUCCUCCCCACCGACGGCCUCCCCGACGACUUCGACUGGAGAGACCACGGCGCCGUCGGCCCCGUCAAGAACCAGGUUCCCCUCUCGUCUCCCGUCGAUUUUUCCCCCAAACCAAGGACUCCUCCUUUGAUUUCUCGAUUGAAUCAGCCGUCUUAUCGUUUCUUGAUUUUUUUUAAUUUUUUUGCUUUUGCAGGGAUCGUGCGGGUCGUGCUGGUCGUUCAGCGCGUCGGGGGCGCUAGAGGGAGCGAACUACCUGGCGACGGGCAAGAUGGACGUGCUCUCCGAGCAGCAGAUGGUCGAUUGCGACCAUGAGGUGAGAGGCGUUUGCUUCCCCUUUCUUGUUUUUGCGUACUGGUAUAUUAUUAUCCUUUUAUUAGGAGCAAGUUUUAUUUGUAAUUUUGUGAUUGGUCUGUGCUUCUAUGGGUGUUAUAAGAGAGGUUGGAUGGGUGCUAUAAGAGAGGUUGGAUUUUUCUGGCUUUCCGCCAAUGUUUUGUCAGCUGCUGCGCUGUCCUUUUCCUAUCUAUUUUCUUGGUUUGUGAUUGGGCAGCGCACCCAAAUGAGAAGGGGAAAGGGAAAUUGGGGCAAAUGAAUGGGAAAGGGAAAUUUGGGAAAGGAGUUGCAUGAUUCCUUGGCUAACUUUGAAAGGGAAAUUAUGAGGAAAAAAGAGUGGCUUGUGGUAUUAUCAGUGCUUAAGAAGUCAAACCAAAGUGGUGAACUUAGCAAGCAAAUUUGUCGUGGUCGAUUUUAUAGUGGUGAAGUAGGUGAAUAAAACAAAAGAUGAUGAAUGCAAGGCUGAGUGGAUAAAAUCUCCAAUUGAUACUGGCACAUGUCGCUCUGGAAGAUCGGUCUAGGUAGGCGUCUCUCUGGGUCUACCGCAGGUGGAUAAAACUAAGAUGAGAUCUAGGUAAGCGUCUCUCUGGGAGUUCAUGGUGACCUUGUGCAUUGAUAGGUCUAUGAAAUAAGAGAGUUCAUGCACCCUUGUGUGUUGGUACGUGCCUAUGGUAUGGUAACGAACAAGCGUAUACAAUUGGGCACAAAGGGUUGUUUGAGUGGGCACUUAAUGAACUGAAAAGUGCUGAACUUGGGAACCCUAUGAUUAGUUAAAUUUUAGAGAAAGGGAGUUAAGAAAGUACCCGAUGUUCUGGGGUUGUCAUGUAUUCCAGCAAUUUUAGUUUUUAGGUACUAGUGAAGCUACCAUGAAGAAGUUGUAAAUUACUCAAAUCUCAACCAUUAAGUUCACUUGAGUGAAAAAUAUAAAUGGAGUCGAUAUCGGCCGCAGGUUGUUUCUGUCAUUGCUUCAUUUCUUAUUUUACUGUCUCACUUGAUGGAUAGACAGCCAAACGUUUGUGUGCACUGGCUUGAUGUACUCUUUCGUUUUGGUAACUGGGCCCCAGGUGAGACCCCAUCUUGGUGAUAUUGUUGUACAACUGAAUAACUACUGUACCUUUUAUAUCAUUAUAUCGGUUAAGAAAAAAAUAAUCAAAUUUCCUCUUUUCUUUUGGAUGUGUCAUCAUAUUUUAGGGGCAAAUUUCCGGUUUCCUCUUUCAUUUGGUUGUGUCCAUCAUAUUUUAGGGGCUUGCUCUUGACCUAUUUCUUUCCAUAUUUACUUCUUGAAGCUUCACUCCUAAAUCCUAAUUAAUGAAAAAGUUAGUGCUUCUCUGUUCUGUUCAAAAAUAAAACAAAUCUUAUUUCCAUAAUAACACAAUUCACUAAACCAUCCUUACAAAGUCUGCACCACCGUUUUAAUUUCCGCCUAUAGCAUGGGUGAUUCUCUUCCUAGUUGAAAAUUCUAUGUAGGAUUUUUUGGUAGUAAGAUGUAAGUGGCUCUCAUUCUAGAAGGCUUUUCAUUACUAAGCUUCUACAUUAGGAAAUGCGAGAAAUAUUUGUUCAGAAAAAACAAUUUUCUCAUAUAUUUAAAAGAUAAUCAACAGUGAUUCCUAUGGUAAUUUUACAAAGUAGCACCAGGCUAAUGUCUUGCACAACCUCUACAAUUUGUCGUAACCAGCUUAAGUGAUUUUCACAUUGCUUUCAUCGCAAAGUACACAUGUAAAGCUUACCCGAGUCGUGCUCAAAUAAUUUUUAGCCUUCCUGGUAUUAUAAUACUUUUUUUGACUUGACAGUGGGAUAUGUACUGUUGUUAUUUGUUUUCUACUGUUACCUGUUUCAACUGAAUGGGGUAUCUCAACUUACUGGGCUUCAUUGUUAUCUAAUUUUGCAGUGUGAUUCAUCAGAACCUGAUUCAUGUGAUGCUGGAUGCAAUGGUGGAUUGAUGACUAACGCCUUCAGCUAUCUUUUGAAAUCCGGUGGCCUUGAGAGUGAGAAGGAUUACCCCUACACUGGGAGGGAUGGCACCUGCAAAUUUGACAAGUCGAAGAUUGUUACUUCAGUUCAGAACUUCAGUGUUGUCUCUGUCGAUGAGGAUCAGAUUGCUGCCAACCUUGUCAAACAUGGGCCACUUGCAAGUAAGUACUAUAACCAUCUCUCGGAAUGAUGCAUUUGCAGGUCUGACUGUUAUAUGUAAAUACAUGAAUAUAUUGUGCAAUUGCUGAUGAAUGACUUCACAUUUUCCUGCAGUUGGCAUCAAUGCUGCGUACAUGCAAACAUACAUUGGUGGUGUUUCGUGCCCGUACAUCUGUGGCAGGCACCUUGAUCACGGUGUUCUUCUCGUUGGCUACGGCGCAUCUGGUUUUGCUCCAAUCCGCCUAAAGGAUAAGGCCUACUGGAUCAUCAAGAACUCCUGGGGCGAGAACUGGGGAGAGCAUGGGUACUACAAGAUCUGCAGGGGCUCCAACGUCCGCAACAAAUGUGGCGUGGAUUCUAUGGUCUCCACCGUGUCUGCCAUCCACACCUCAAAGGAGUAGAUUCUGAUCAGUAGUCCCCCGACCAUCCUGUGGAUGGUUCACAGUUGGUGAUUCUGAUAUUAU
Molecule: long non-coding RNA, 24904 nt
Filed under: Oryza sativa (Asian cultivated rice)
Lineage: Eukaryota; Viridiplantae; Streptophyta; Magnoliopsida; Poales; Poaceae
Description: long non-coding RNA (OSAT_LNC000353)
Rfam family: MIR812 microRNA precursor family (bases 20376-20564)
Source: RNAcentral